UAUAAUCCUAUGGGUUUGGGGGUGCUGCCUCCAACAGGAACAGGCUGUUUGUUCCCUGUCACACACCUGUAACUCCUGCUCUCCCCAGGAAGCCCGAGACACUCCCAUAUUUGCAGCCGCUGUUCCCCAGCAGGGAGCCACAGUACAGCCAAAGGUAGGGGCUUUGAGGACACAUCCCCAGCUCCCGGGGUGCAGGGUAGCCCUGCCUCAGCAAGCAGGGCUCUUCCCUGUGUGCGAGAGGCUUUUGCCUCCUGCAGCAGGUGGACAGGAGCUGGGAGGAACACGCUCCUGCAGGCAGCACCACCAGUCCCCUCCCUGGCACAGCAGGGUGAUGCCACAGGGCUGGGCACUGAGUGUCCUCUGCCCCAUCCCACAGGGGGCUGGCGGUCCAUGGCAGUGUCCCCCGUGUGCCUCAGAGAUAUGAGGACCAUCAGAACACACUGCCACCCAUUCAGGAUUCUCUCCAGAGCACAGAAUUUCUGCAGGGACACAGGACCCUCCCCCAAAAGCCCAGAGUGACCCGCGUGCUGGGCAGUUGUGGACACACCUGGAGGAGCCGUAAUGAGCAGAUUCCUGUGGUGACCAGGACACCGCAUGAGCCAGGUGUGGCCCUGUCAGGGGAUAUGGGACUGCUUGUCUGCUGGGUCUGCACCUGGUCCCCAGCUGACCCUCCUGCUGCCCCUCCUGGGCUGGCAGAGCUCAGGUGGGAGCAGCCCCUGGGACAUGGGGGGCUCACCCCUGCCUCUCACCCCCAGGCCCUGCUGCCUCACGGGGUCACCGGCCAGGCACGAUCCCCAAACACGUCUCCAGGGCACCAGGGCUCCUCCAGCACCCUGAGACUUGGACAGCCCUCAAGUAGCUGGACAGGACUGGGAACCCGGUGAUGCACCAGGAACGUCUCCUCAGCCGAGAGGAAAGUCUGACAAUAGCUGUCAGAGAAAUAACUUUUUAGUUGUAUCACAUUAAUAAAUAAACUUUCAAAAAUACA
RNAcentral lists this long non-coding RNA (988 nucleotides) under Parus major (Great Tit). RNAcentral describes it as "lncRNA (ENSPMJG00000018929.1)". Lineage: Eukaryota; Metazoa; Chordata; Aves; Passeriformes; Paridae. The record is from RNAcentral.